Molecule: ribosomal RNA, 2332 nt
Filed under: Escherichia coli
Lineage: Bacteria; Pseudomonadati; Pseudomonadota; Gammaproteobacteria; Enterobacterales; Enterobacteriaceae
Description: partial 23S ribosomal RNA
Rfam family: Bacterial large subunit ribosomal RNA
Source: RNAcentral
AAUGGGUCAGCGACUUAUAUUCUGUAGCAAGGUUAACCGAAUAGGGGAGCCGAAGGGAAACCGAGUCUUAACUGGGCGUUAAGUUGCAGGGUAUAGACCCGAAACCCGGUGAUCUAGCCAUGGGCAGGUUGAAGGUUGGGUAACACUAACUGGAGGACCGAACCGACUAAUGUUGAAAAAUUAGCGGAUGACUUGUGGCUGGGGGUGAAAGGCCAAUCAAACCGGGAGAUAGCUGGUUCUCCCCGAAAGCUAUUUAGGUAGCGCCUCGUGAAUUCAUCUCCGGGGGUAGAGCACUGUUUCGGCAAGGGGGUCAUCCCGACUUACCAACCCGAUGCAAACUGCGAAUACCGGAGAAUGUUAUCACGGGAGACACACGGCGGGUGCUAACGUCCGUCGUGAAGAGGGAAACAACCCAGACCGCCAGCUAAGGUCCCAAAGUCAUGGUUAAGUGGGAAACGAUGUGGGAAGGCCCAGACAGCCAGGAUGUUGGCUUAGAAGCAGCCAUCAUUUAAAGAAAGCGUAAUAGCUCACUGGUCGAGUCGGCCUGCGCGGAAGAUGUAACGGGGCUAAACCAUGCACCGAAGCUGCGGCAGCGACACUAUGUGUUGUUGGGUAGGGGAGCGUUCUGUAAGCCUGUGAAGGUGUACUGUGAGGUAUGCUGGAGGUAUCAGAAGUGCGAAUGCUGACAUAAGUAACGAUAAAGCGGGUGAAAAGCCCGCUCGCCGGAAGACCAAGGGUUCCUGUCCAACGUUAAUCGGGGCAGGGUGAGUCGACCCCUAAGGCGAGGCCGAAAGGCGUAGUCGAUGGGAAACAGGUUAAUAUUCCUGUACUUGGUGUUACUGCGAAGGGGGGACGGAGAAGGCUAUGUUGGCCGGGCGACGGUUGUCCCGGUUUAAGCGUGUAGGCUGGUUUUCCAGGCAAAUCCGGAAAAUCAAGGCUGAGGCGUGAUGACGAGGCACUACGGUGCUGAAGCAACAAAUGCCCUGCUUCCAGGAAAAGCCUCUAAGCAUCAGGUAACAUCAAAUCGUACCCCAAACCGACACAGGUGGUCAGGUAGAGAAUACCAAGGCGCUUGAGAGAACUCGGGUGAAGGAACUAGGCAAAAUGGUGCCGUAACUUCGGGAGAAGGCACGCUGAUAUGUAGGUGAAGUCCCUCGCGGAUGGAGCUGAAAUCAGUCGAAGAUACCAGCUGGCUGCAACUGUUUAUUAAAAACACAGCACUGUGCAAACACGAAAGUGGACGUAUACGGUGUGACGCCUGCCCGGUGCCGGAAGGUUAAUUGAUGGGGUUAGCGGUAACGCGAAGCUCUUGAUCGAAGCCCCGGUAAACGGCGGCCGUAACUAUAACGGUCCUAAGGUAGCGAAAUUCCUUGUCGGGUAAGUUCCGACCUGCACGAAUGGCGUAAUGAUGGCCAGGCUGUCUCCACCCGAGACUCAGUGAAAUUGAACUCGCUGUGAAGAUGCAGUGUACCCGCGGCAAGACGGAAAGACCCCGUGAACCUUUACUAUAGCUUGACACUGAACAUUGAGCCUUGAUGUGUAGGAUAGGUGGGAGGCUUUGAAGUGUGGACGCCAGUCUGCAUGGAGCCGACCUUGAAAUACCACCCUUUAAUGUUUGAUGUUCUAACGUUGGCCCGUUAUCCGGGUUGCGGACAGUGUCUGGUGGGUAGUUUGACUGGGGCGGUCUCCUCCUAAAGAGUAACGGAGGAGCACGAAGGUUGGCUAAUCCUGGUCGGACAUCAGGAGGUUAGUGCAAUGGCAUAAGCCAGCUUGACUGCGAGCGUGACGGCGCGAGCAGGUGCGAAAGCAGGUCAUAGUGAUCCGGUGGUUCUGAAUGGAAGGGCCAUCGCUCAACGGAUAAAAGGUACUCCGGGGAUAACAGGCUGAUACCGCCCAAGAGUUCAUAUCGACGGCGGUGUUUGGCACCUCGAUGUCGGCUCAUCACAUCCUGGGGCUGAAGUAGGUCCCAAGGGUAUGGCUGUUCGCCAUUUAAAGUGGUACGCGAGCUGGGUUUAGAACGUCGUGAGACAGUUCGGUCCCUAUCUGCCGUGGGCGCUGGAGAACUGAGGGGGGCUGCUCCUAGUACGAGAGGACCGGAGUGGACGCAUCACUGGUGUUCGGGUUGUCAUGCCAAUGGCACUGCCCGGUAGCUAAAUGCGGAAGAGAUAAGUGCUGAAAGCAUCUAAGCACGAAACUUGCCCCGAGAUGAGUUCUCCCUGACUCCUUGAGAGUCCUGAAGGAACGUUGAAGACGACGACGUUGAUAGGCCGGGUGUGUAAGCGCAGCGAUGCGUUGAGCUAACCGGUACUAAUGAACCGUGAGGCUUAACCUU